Molecule: non-coding RNA, 90 nt
Organism: Dallia pectoralis (Alaska blackfish)
Lineage: Eukaryota; Metazoa; Chordata; Actinopteri; Esociformes; Umbridae
Source: the annotation of a GenBank genome assembly
GCUCCUGUGGCGCAAUCGGUUAGCGCACGGUAUACAGCAGUAUGCAGCAGAGCGAUGCCGAGGUUGUGAGUUCCAGCCUCACCUGGAGCA